RNAcentral lists this ribosomal RNA (822 nucleotides) under Phytophthora sp. REB326-69. RNAcentral describes it as "eukaryotic LSU rRNA". The stretch from base 322 to 476 matches the Rfam family "5.8S ribosomal RNA". The record is from RNAcentral. Lineage: Eukaryota; Oomycota; Peronosporomycetes; Peronosporales; Peronosporaceae.
CAAUCCACGUGAACCGUAUCAACCCCCCUUAAUUGGGGCUUCCCUGCUGUCUUGUGCUGGCUGAGCUUUGUUGUUCGGCUGGUCGAGGCGGCGGGUUGAGGCCUAUCAGCGAACGCUUUUUGUUAGUAGCUUUUUUUUGCGACCGAGCGUUUGUGCCGACUAUUGAUGGAAUCGCUUUUGCAAGCAGGCCAGUUACCUGUAGCAUUGGCUUGAAUCCGGAMGCGGUUGGCGCGAGCUAGUAGUUUUGCAAAAGUUUUUUAAACCCUUUACUAAAUACUGAAAAACUGUGGGGACGAAAGUCUCUGCUUUUAACUAGAUAGCAACUUUCAGCAGUGGAUGUCUAGGCUCGCACAUCGAUGAAGAACGCUGCGAACUGCGAUACGUAAUGCGAAUUGCAGGAUUCAGUGAGUCAUCGAAAUUUUGAACGCAUAUUGCACUUCCGGGUUAUGCCUGGAAGUAUGCCUGUAUCAGUGUCCGUAAAUUAAACUUGCCUUUCUUCCUUCCAUGUAGUUGGCGGAUGGAAAUGUGCAGAUGUGAAGUGUCUUGUUAGUUCGCGCGGGCUUUAUGCUUUGCGACGGUCCACAAGUCCUUUUAAAACGAACGCUAUUCUCUCUUUGCUGGAAGGCAUUGCGGACUGUGAUUGUGGCAGCUGCUGCUCGGCACGUCGGCGACCGAUUUUCUGCUUCGGCAUAUGGAGGACUCCUUGAUUCGCGGUAUGUUAGGUUUCGGCCGGACAAUGCGCUUAUUGGGUUGAGACCUUCGCUGUUGCGGAUGUAUGAUUGGUGUACCGAUAGCCUUGAUGUGCUUGGCUGUUGAAUCGUG